This is a long non-coding RNA of Osmerus eperlanus (European smelt), 888 nucleotides long. RefSeq lists it as uncharacterized. The record is from RefSeq and is a predicted model, not a curated record. The transcript is spliced from 3 exons. Lineage: Eukaryota; Metazoa; Chordata; Actinopteri; Osmeriformes; Osmeridae.
GGAAUUAAUAUGUAGGAAGUAACGGUUUUACUUGCGUAUGAAUCCCAAUGUUGCUCUUUGCAGGAUAGGAAGUGAAAAUGAGUGGUGUCAACUCUUUGCUAAGGCCAUGAAACGGAUGUCUUGGAGGGCCAUAAUCUUUUUCCGGGUGGAGUUUGUCUGCAGUCAGUGCAGAAGAUAGAAGUCCAAUGGUACAUAGCAAGCAAACGUCCCUGGAAUGAUGGCGAAGUGUCGAGACCCAUGGGUGCCAUGGGUGACAAUCCGUCAUGAGUACAUGGGCCCGAGGAACUACCAGCUCCCUCGUUCUACAGCUGUCAGAGACGUCAAGCAACUCAUCUACGAGGAGACAGACCUGCCCAUUACAGAACAGCAGCUCAUACACAAUGGCAAAGUGGUGAGACAUAAGGAACCCGUCUCAGCCAUGGAGUCCCAAUUGGAGAUUUGGUUAACUUCAAAUUAGAGUUGGAGCAUGUUGAAGAGUAUGCCCUUUUUAUCACAGUAGCAGGUAUUGUGCAUAUUUGGUUUGCACAAUACAAAUCCGAUUAGUGAGUGACCAUUCCUAGUGUGCAUGCGGCACAUCCUGUGUGUCACACUGCUGUUGUCUCCCGGCAGCAUCCCGCGCUCCUCAUUUGUUCAGUGUUUUGAACGUAUCAAGGGUUUUUUAAUAGACUAAGUAUUCUAUUCAGAUAAUGUCAGACAACAUCAGGACUGGUUAGAAUGACUGUGUGCUCCACUGUGAAACAACAAAAGCACAUUGUUUGAACAGAGAUGUUGCUUGAUAAUCGGACACAAGACUUUGAUCCAGUUGUAUCGUAGCCAACUGUAUUGUCAGUUGUUGCCAGGACAAGAUUAGAACUCUUAAUCUCAAUUUUUACCUUCCAAUUCUUUCGU